Molecule: non-coding RNA, 447 nt
Organism: Zonotrichia albicollis (white-throated sparrow)
Lineage: Eukaryota; Metazoa; Chordata; Aves; Passeriformes; Passerellidae
Source: RefSeq, a predicted model, not a curated record
ACUACCUUGGCAAGAAGAUUCCCCUGGGUUCAGGCUGCCCCUCCCACUGACCCUUUAGCCAUCACCCCCAGCUGUGCUGGCUCUGGCGCGUUAGUAACUGCGCUUGAGUAGCUGCAAACUGCCCUUGGAUUUGCCUCAGCCGCCUUCUCGCCAAAGCAAACAGGUUACUCCUUGUGCGCCGGCUGCUGGACCCUCUUCUCUAUGGCUCUUUUGAACGGGGAUGCUGUGGUGCUCUUGUUGCUUGUGUGGCAGCAGCUCAAGGGACUGGGCCCAGCCCUGCUGGAGGAGAACAGGACCAGUGACAGCCUGACAUUGCCCCAGAGGCUUCUCAACUCCUGGGUAACUUCAUCCUCAGCUGCUGAAGGUGGCUGCUGGGUCACUUUUGUCAGUGGGACUGGAAGGGAGCCAUCACCUGCCUCCUGGAUGGCCUGCCAGCCCUGGUGUGUG